CGUAGGUGGCAAGCGUUGUCCGGAAUUAUUGGGCGUAAAGCGCGCGCAGGCGGUUCCUUAAGUCUGAUGUGAAAGCCCCCGGCUCAACCGGGGAAGGGUCAUUGGAAACUGGGGAACGUUGAGUGCAGAAGAGAAGAGCGGAAUUCCACGUGUAGCGGUGAAAUGCGUAGAGAUGUGGAGGAACACCAGUGGCGAAGGCGGCUCUUUGGUCUGUAACUGACGCUGAGGCGCGAAAGCGUGGGGAGCAAACAGGAUUAGAUACCCUGGUAGUCCACGCCGUAAACGAUGAGUGCUAAGUGUUAGAGGGUUUCCGCCCUUUAGUGCUGCAGCUAACGCAUUAAGCACUCCGCCUGGGGAGUACGGCCGCAAGGCUG
This 374-nucleotide ribosomal RNA is filed under the name uncultured organism. RNAcentral's name for it is "bacterial SSU rRNA". It matches the Rfam family "Bacterial small subunit ribosomal RNA", at positions 526 to 896 of the family's 1533-position model. The record is from RNAcentral.